Molecule: ribosomal RNA, 503 nt
Filed under: uncultured bacterium
Lineage: Bacteria
Description: partial 16S ribosomal RNA
Rfam family: Bacterial small subunit ribosomal RNA
Source: RNAcentral
AUUGAACGCUGGCGGCAGGCUUAACACAUGCAAGUCGAGCGGGGUGAUGGUGCUUGCACUAUCACUUAGCGGAGGACGGGUGAGUAAUGCUUAGGAAUCUGCCUAUUAGUGGGGGACAACAUCUCGAAAGGGAUGCUAAUACCGAAUACGUCCUACGGGAGAAAGCAGGGGAUCACUUGUGACCUUGCGCUAAUAGAUGAGCCUAAGUCGGAUUAGCUAGUGGGUGGGGUAAAGGCCUACCAAGGCGACGAUCUGUAGCGGGUCUGAGAGGAUGAUCCGCCACACUGGGACUGAGACACGGCCCAGACUCCUACGGGAGGUAGCAGUGGGGAAUAUUGGACAAUGGGGGGAACCCUGAUCCAGCCAUGCCGCGUGUGUGAAGAAGGCCUUAUGGUUGUAAAGCACUUUAAGCGAGGAGGAGGCUCUUUUGGUUAAUACCCAAGAUGAGUGGACGUUACUCGCAGAAUAAGCACCGGCUAACUCUGUGCCAGCCGCCGCCGUAA